GCUAGUUGGUAAGGUAACGGCUUACCAAGGCUACGAUGGGUAGGGGUCCUGAGAGGGAGAUCCCCCACACUGGAACUGAGACACGGACCAGACUCCUACGGGAGGCAGCAGUGAGGAAUAUUGGUCAAUGGUCGGAAGACUGAACCAGCCAUGCCGCGUGCAGGAUGACGGCCCUAUGGGUUGUAAACUGCUUUUGUACGGGAAGAAACACCGGUUCGUGAACCGGCUUGACGGUACCGUAAGAAUAAGGAUCGGCUAACUCCGUGCCAGCAGCCGCGGUAAUACGGAGGAUCCAAGCGUUAUCCGGAAUCAUUGGGUUUAAAGGGUCCGUAGGCGGUCUUAUAAGUCAGUGGUGAAAUCUGGUCGCUCAACGAUCAAACUGCCAUUGAUACUGUAGGACUUGAAUUACUGUGAAGUAACUAGAAUAUGUAGUGUAGCGGUGAAAUGCUUAGAGAUUACAUGGAAUACCAAUUGCGAAGGCAGGUUACUAACAGUGGAUUGACGCUGAUGGACGAAAGCGUGGGGAGCGAACAGGAUUAGAUACCCUGGUAGUCCACGCUGUAAACGAUGGAUACUAGUUGUUUGGAGCAAUCUGAGUGACUAAGC
This 606-nucleotide ribosomal RNA is filed under the name uncultured bacterium. RNAcentral's name for it is "bacterial SSU rRNA". It matches the Rfam family "Bacterial small subunit ribosomal RNA", at positions 244 to 852 of the family's 1533-position model. The record is from RNAcentral.